This 434-nucleotide ribosomal RNA is filed under the name bacterium 186. Its description in RNAcentral is "bacterial SSU rRNA". It matches the Rfam family "Bacterial small subunit ribosomal RNA", at positions 958 to 1392 of the family's 1533-position model. The record is from RNAcentral.
AACGCGAAGAACCUUACCUGGUCUUGACAUCCACAGAACUUUCCAGAGAUGGAUUGGUGCCUUCGGGAACUGUGAGACAGGUGCUGCAUGGCUGUCGUCAGCUCGUGUUGUGAAAUGUUGGGUUAAGUCCCGCAACGAGCGCAACCCUUAUCCUUUGUUGCCGGCGGUUAGGCCGGGAACUCAAAGGAGACUGCCAGUGAUAAACUGGAGGAAGGUGGGGAUGACGUCAAGUCAUCAUGGCCCUUACGACCAGGGCUACACACGUGCUACAAUGGCAUAUACAAAGAGAAGCGACCUCGCGAGGGCAAGCGGACCUCAUAAAGUAUGUCGUAGUCCGGAUUGGAGUCUGCAACUCGACUCCAUGAAGUCGGAAUCGCUAGUAAUCGUAGAUCAGAAUGCUACGGUGAAUACGUUCCCGGGUCUUGUACACACCG